Molecule: small nucleolar RNA, 121 nt
Filed under: Canis lupus familiaris (dog)
Lineage: Eukaryota; Metazoa; Chordata; Mammalia; Carnivora; Canidae
Also listed under: 1 other name
Description: Small nucleolar RNA U3 (multiple genes)
Rfam family: Small nucleolar RNA U3
About the family: Small nucleolar RNAs (snoRNAs) are involved in the processing and modification of rRNA in the nucleolus. There are two main classes of snoRNAs: the box C/D class, and the box H/ACA class.
Source: Rfam by way of RNAcentral
GGGUCUCAGCGUGCUCCCCGCAGCGCGAAGCCUGCUCUUGGUGUCGCCGAUGCAGCUGCUGCUGGCAAUUGAUGAUCGUUCUUCUCCCUUGGGGGAGCAAGAGGGAGACAACGCAGUCUGA